RNAcentral lists this long non-coding RNA (298 nucleotides) under Mus musculus (house mouse). Its description in RNAcentral is "long non-coding RNA chr11:62697217-62697515". The record is from RNAcentral. Lineage: Eukaryota; Metazoa; Chordata; Mammalia; Rodentia; Muridae.
UGUGAGGAGACCAGUGACAGCAAGAGGUUCUUGGGGGAAAACACAAAUGGUGCUACUCUGAAUUAGACCAUCCAAGAAUUCUACCAUGAGAAGCUGGAGGAAAUAAAGGACAAGAAGAAGUUCUGCAGGUUGUAUGUAGAAGACCUGUCGAAGGAAGCCACAGCCAUCAACAUGAAAAACGAGGCUCUGCAGAAGCUGUGGCCACAGAUGUGCAUGGAGCUUGUCAAGGAUGCCGUCAUAGAGAUCCACAGCAAAGAUUCCUACAUGAAACUCUGCCUGCAGCAGAUCACUGACCAGA